Molecule: ribosomal RNA, 253 nt
Filed under: uncultured bacterium
Lineage: Bacteria
Description: partial 16S ribosomal RNA
Rfam family: Bacterial small subunit ribosomal RNA
Source: RNAcentral
UACGUAGGGUGCAAGCGUUGUCCGGAAUUAUUGGGCGUAAAGAGCUCGUAGGCGGUUUGUCGCGUCGGCUGUGAAAACCUGGGGCUUAACUCCGGGCCUGCAGCCGAUACGGGCAAGCUAGAGUUCGGCAGGGGAGACUGGAAUUCCUGGUGUAGCGGUGAAAUGCGCAGAUAUCAGGAGGAACACCGGUGGCGAAGGCGAGUCUCUGGACAGCAACUGACGCUGAGGCACGAAGGCCAGGGGAGCAAACGGG